AAAAAAAGGGCUUGUCAAAGGGAUCAAAGCUCAAAAGGUUUUGGCACUUCAAGAUUUAUAAUGAAGCAAGAAAGAAGAGUAAUUCAAGUUUAAUUAGCACAAAUGACCUAAAAUUAGGAACCUUUCAGAAUAAUGAACAAAAACAUAUGGCUAGUCCGAUAUUUUAGAAAUUCAGAAUUAAACCAAGACAACUUUUAGUUUUUGGAGCUUUGGAACUAAGGAGACUAAACGUAAUAAAAUUUGUAACAUAAGAUCAUGAAAGAUUUAUAAGGCCAGUAAAUGCUAAUGAAAAAGAAAAAGAAUUCAACGACAGUGAAGAAUAAGAACCGGGAACAUUUUCAGUGCCCUACCAUUAGAUUGUACAAACUCCUUAGACUAUCUCUCACAGUUCAUAAUUCCUAUAAAGAAAACACUUACAUGAAUCAAAUAUACUUGCUCUCAAUAGGCCUAAAAAAACUAUGACAUUUCACUUGAUCCUCUUCUCGCACAGACUAUUAUCUGACCAAAGUGUCAGAGCCAAAUACAG
RNAcentral lists this unclassified non-coding RNA (526 nucleotides) under Hevea brasiliensis (rubber tree). The record is from RNAcentral. Lineage: Eukaryota; Viridiplantae; Streptophyta; Magnoliopsida; Malpighiales; Euphorbiaceae.